This 68-nucleotide transfer RNA is filed under the name Trichonephila clavipes. It matches the Rfam family "tRNA". Rfam says of the family: Transfer RNA (tRNA) molecules are approximately 80 nucleotides in length. RNAcentral also lists the same sequence under 1 other name. The record is from Rfam by way of RNAcentral. Lineage: Eukaryota; Metazoa; Arthropoda; Arachnida; Araneae; Nephilidae.
GCCAGUAUGGUGGAUAUGACCCUCGGCUUGUAACCGAGUGGGUUCGGGUUCGAAUCCCGAAUAAGGUA